RNAcentral lists this long non-coding RNA (6009 nucleotides) under Coffea arabica (coffee). RNAcentral's name for it is "long non-coding RNA (CARA_LNC003669)". The record is from RNAcentral. Lineage: Eukaryota; Viridiplantae; Streptophyta; Magnoliopsida; Gentianales; Rubiaceae.
CAGAGUAGAGCAGUAGUAAAGCAAAAACCCCAAGUAUUAAUCUAGUCACAAGAAAGAUUCUAAACCUCUAAAGAAGAGCAACAGGCGACUAGAAUUCUAAUGAAUAGAGCAAGUAGAGGAACCGUAGGUGGGAACCCAGUCCACUGAAGUCAAUAAACAAACCCAAGAAACAGAUAAGUCCGCAAAUGAGUCAGCAAAUUGCACAAAUGAUCAGACCAAAAUCACAGACACUGCUCCUCCAAAUCAGCAAUUUAAACCAACAUCCAGAAUGUCCUCAAAAACUCGAUUAAAAACUACUAAUGCCAACAAGGAAUGCAGUUGCCGAAUUAAAUCAACCAAAAUUUCAACAAGCACAACACUGGCCGAGAUUCUUCCCAAAAUAUCACCGACAAUUGUUAAAAUUUCAGCCCACCCAAGAACUUCAACAAUCGCACCCAACUGGAGGAAGCAAUGUAAAUAGCAUAGAAACUUCCCAAUUUAACAAACAAGUGCAAUAUUUCAGCUUACCCAAAAUUUCAACAAAUGGCUCCAGAUGGCCAACUAAGUGCACCAGUGCACCCAACCCAAAAGACUUAGCAAGUCCAAGCAAAAAUAAUCUCACCAGUGCCACUGGUGGAAAUCACACAAUUGAAGAAAUAACCCCCAACAAUCAAAAACACCACUAGUAAACAACCCCAGCAGCCCCAAGCAAUAAUAAGAAAUUUGGGUGAUAGCCGCCAAAUACCUUCACCUUAGAGGGGACAGUAGCGGGGAAGGGCAGAGGGAGGCGCGCCUCGCGUUCUGAAGCAGCAGUGGCGCUGGGUGCGGCGUGCGGUAGAGCUGAGGCUGGCGGCUGUCAGGGGAGCUGCUGUGCAGAUCGACGGGCAGCAGUGCGUCCGUGGCUUUGGGAGGCAGCGGCGGCGGCAGUGAGUCGCGCGCAAGGGGCUGUUGGACAGAGCAGCGGCAGCGGAUGGCGCGCGAUGUAGGUGGACACAGCGUGAGGUGGGUGGCAUGCGUGCGUUGAGAUGGCGGUGGGCAGAGCGGCGGACAGAGCGAAACAGAGGAGAAGAACGAAAGAAAAGAGAAAGAAAGAAGAAGAAAGAAAGAAAGAAAAGAAAAGAAGGAAAAAAAACUUUUUUUUUGUUUGUUUUUGUUUUUGUUUUUUCUUGAUAAUUGAGAAUUUUUUUUUUUUUGAUAAUUGAGAAACCUAGCUACGGUUGAAAAAAUUUCUCUUUUUUUUUUUUUUUUAAUCCUUACCUUUCCCGCGAACGUGACGCGGGCACGCCAUGCGGGCAAGAGAGCUCCCAGCAGUUUCUGCUCGUGAGCCAUCUGCACGUCACCACGCGGGCACGUCAUGAGGGCAAGAGAGCUCCCAGAAGUUCAGAAAUUCCUGAUCGUGAGCUUCCUGCGCGUCACCACGCGGGCACGUCAUGACUGAAGUUCACCUACAAAUCAGCAAAAACGAAAAUUAACACCCAGAAUCAGUCAAAUUCAAGGAAAACAGAUUUAAACUAUGACACGAAACCAACAAACAACUAAAAGAAACAAUUGGGUUGCCUCCCAAUGAGCGCCUUUCUUUAAUGUCUUUGGCUAGACAUUAUUAUGUUUUUUUUUUCAUGGAGGAUAAAAUCUUGUGGCUCGUCUCAUUGCUUCAUCCUCUACAUAGUCCUGAUAACCCUCAUAGAUGGAGUAAUCUUUGAGCACACGAGCUAUGGUCUUCCAUGGAUUAGUUGAUGGUGCCAAAUAAUCAAGCAGUGAUCUCAAUUUUUCCUCCACCCCUCCAUCAAGAGCACUCAACGGUUCAAGAUAUUUGACCAUAGCUACUCUUAACUUAUUUCUGCCAUGAGACUCAAAAACUUCCGGUAUAACAAAAUCAAUCUCAUUAACAGAAAUCAUGGAAUAAGAGUUAAGAAAAUGCGGAUUAGGGAAUGGAGGUGGUGUCACCACAUUUGAUGAUUCUUCACUGGAUUCUUUCACUUCAAUAGGUUGCGGUUGGGGUUCCAUUUCUUCAUUUUCGGCUUCUUUUUCAACUGCAUCUGUAGAUUUCUCAUUUUGACAUUCUUGCAUCUCCUCAUCCUUGUCCUUAGGGAUCACAGGCUCAGGCCCUUGAACCUCUUUACCACUCCUCAAGGUCAUGGCGCUGACAUUCUUCGGGUUCAACUCAGGUUGAGAUGGCAAUUCACCUUGGUUCUGGGAAUCCAAACGAUUGAUUGGUGUGGCCAUUUGACUUAUCUGAUUUCUUAUAUCCUGCAUUUCGGAGUCCGUCCAUUGUUGAUUUUGCAUAAUGAUUGCCUCCGUCCUUUGCUGAUUUUGCGCCAUGUUUGUCAUCACUUGUUUUAUCAUCUCCUCCAAAGAUGGAUCAGAGCUUGGGGGCGGAGGUGGUCGGGGUUGGUAUUGCUGCUGGUACCCUGACAGGGAUGUUGGUUGUUGAGACUCUUGCUAUUGAAAAUCCAUUGGCCCGGUCGCAUAAUCAAAACUGGAAUUAUUCCACCAUCCUUGAUCAUACCCGUUUGAAUAAGGGUCAUACUGCAUUUGAUAUUGGGGUGGAAAAUCUCCGAAAGUGUCAAUUGGAGCACUUAGAUUGUCUUGAAAUGCGGGACAUGUGUCAGUUGAAUAACCUGAGUCAAAAUAAGUUCCACAAUUUGCAACAGCCCAUUGAUCAUUAGGAAAAACAUGAGUCUCAUAACCCCAUUGAGGAACAAAGUCCAAUCUAUCAUCAAAAUAUGGAAUGUUAGCAGCCAUAAACUAUAUAAAAAAAGUGAAAAAUAAAUUAAAAAUGAAAACAAGGUGAACUCAAAAAGAAACAAAUUAAUCUGACACCAGUCCCCGGCAACGGCGCCAAAAAUUGACAGGUGCCGAACCUGUACAAUAAUAAAAACCUACUCGAGAAAAAUACAGAUUUUGUAUAUAGCGGUGAGUAGGGUCGAAUCCACAGGGACUGGGGAUAAUUCGUUUCUUCUAGAGUCCAAAGUAUGGGGGGUUUUGGAUUAAAUGCUAACUAGAUAAAUUAACUGCAGAGAAUAAUUAAUUAAAAGAAAUAACUAAGAGAAACUCUAGCCAAGGGUACACUUCAGAAAUGGUUCAUGCAACUGAUCAUUGAUGCAGAAAUAAUUCCAACAUUUAGUAAUAGAUUAGUUAUAGUUGUCAUGCACGCGAUAAACAACCAACCCUCCCUUAAUUUGUCGAUAGGUAAGGUACGACCGUUAGCUAUUUCUCUAACCCAAAAAUAACCCUAGGUACGACCGUAGGAUUUAAUUUUUAGAUUGCAUUAAUAAUUAGAAAGGCCCAAUCCUAACUAACAAACACGCUACGAGGGUUUGUUUAAGUUAGAUCGUAUGUUCCCCUGACAUAAACCCAAUUACGCCAGUUGCUACUGAGAUAGAGAUAACGAACAAUUACGGAUUCAAUUACCCCUAUUUAACAAAAUAGCCUAUGUGAAUAAUUAAAUAUUGCGCAUCUAUUCAAUCACUCACAUGAGCUAUAGCAAUUAAAAGCAGGAAACAUAUAAAUAUCAAUAAAUUAAGGAAACAAUUAAAAUAAAUUAGAUCUCACAGUAAUUGUUGAACCAAAUCUUCAGUUGUCCCCUUGACUAGAAUUGAGAGGUUAGUCCUCCAUUAAUGGAGAACAACCAUGCGGAAGAAUAAAAACUAAACUAUGCUAAAAAGAAGGUCCCCCUGACAUGCGUAGGAAAAGAAAAUAUAAAAAGAGAACUAAGGGAAAAGUUAAAGGGAACAACUCCUAAGUGCUCCUGACAUCCAAGGAGACACGCUACUAUCCCCCAAAGCCAGCAAAGGAAAAAUCAAAGCUAAGCUACUGGACGAAAGAAAACAAAAGUAGUCUUGAUCCUUUGCAAUUCCAAUUCAUAUCAAAUUGCUAAUCUAUUCUCCUGCGCCGAUCCCAUGUGCGGCGGCUCACACCAGGAAAAGAAGACUUUCCAUCCGUUGCCCUCUUCAGCAAAAUACCAAAAAUGGGCAAAAGUUUUCCUUUCCAAAAAUGCCCCUGAGAUAAGCUCUAUUAUUUGGACUCUUUCCCGAUAAUUGUCAAAUUGACACUUAUUAUGGUAUUUUUGUUCUACUCCCUGAAAUAUAUGCAAAAUAUCAAAAGUGAGUAGAAUCUAGCAAAUAAUCCACAUUAGAUCAGAUAAUAGGGAAAAUUAAUAAUAAAAUAAAUGAAUAAAUUGCAACCUAUCAAUUCCCCCCACACCUAAACCAUGCUUGUCCUCAAGCAUAAGAAUAGUAAACAAAUACCAAAAUUUGAUAGUUGCUACUGCUCUAUCCAACAAAUUGCCAAGAUACCAAGAAAAAUAUGUAUCAAGCAUCAAUGAUCAAGUCCAAGAAACAUCAUUUCGGUUAGCUUCUAAACCACAAACUCCUCUAAUUUCAAGUUAACUAAUCUAAGAAAAAGGAAUAACGCAUAACAUUUAUCAGCAAAUGGUCCAACUAUUAAUCCAAAUCUCAACAUUAACCCAUAGAUCGGUAAGCUGACUUUAGACACACACUUACACAACCUUCACCUUUUUUAUCACGUUUUUCUAUUUUUCUCUUUUUUUUUUAUUUUUAUUUUUUUUUCUUUUUCAAUAAUAACAAAAGACUUAGUUUCUAGCUAUUAGAGCCUUUUGACGCGAACUCCAACAUUUGAUAGAUGUAGGAGCCCGGUUACUCAGCUCCAAUCGCUACGAGACCAUGCACUCAUAGCAACUACUACCUUUUGACGCGAAAAUCGACACUUUAGGUGAAGAUCCCCGGUUACUCAGUAGUAACAACUAGUGGAGUACAGUCACCUCUUAUUUACACUCAUAAAGCACAAUAACUAAAAAUAACAGCAGCCAGCCUCAAAUUCCAAACAUGGAGAACUAAAAUUAAUAAUUGGACCAAUUCACAUGAAAAAUGCCAACAAUCAUUCCCUAUGCCUAGGAAAGUUAACCAAAAAUUAUAAGAGUAAAACAAUCAUCGAUAUUCACCAAAGAGAUGUUCUUGGAUUCAACCACAUCAACUUGAUACCCUUUUAUUAUUAAAACUUGGCAAAAGUAGAAAUAGAUGCAAUAAUCCAACAUCAAACCUUGGCAUGCACUUACGAGCCAAUCACUAAAAAGAAGAAAAAGAAAAGGAACGAAAGACACUAGCACCAUAACUGCUCCCCCCACACCUAAAUCCUACAUUGUCCUCAAUGGAGGGAUUAAAGCAAUUAAAGCGAAAAGGGUAACGAAACUUCCCUCACGAGUGGCGAAAGGGUAGGCGGGAAUGGUGCACGGAAACCGAUGUGAUAGAAGUACGCGGCCAAGGUCUGAGACAUCUCAACUCAAUUCAACCAGCACAUGCAAAACUCUGUCCACCCAACAUCUCAAAAGAAUGGCUCCAGUCGGCCAGUUAAUGCCUUAACUUAAAAUCAGCAAUUUCAACCAUGACAACUUAGAUAUUUGACAAUAAUAACUUAGCCAACCAAUUAGAGGUACCAAAUUCAAUUGAAAAUAUUUCCACCAGUACCACUGGGGUAAAACGUAGUCCAAAAUCAAUGAAAUUGCUAUAGCAGAGUAGAGCAGUAGUAAAGCAAAAACCCCAAGUAUUAAUCUAGUCACAAGAAAGAUUCUAAACCUCUAAAGAAGAGCAACAGGCGACUAGAAUUCUAAUGAAUAGAGCAAGUAGAGGAACCGUAGGUGGGAACCCAGUCCACUGAAGUCAAUAAACAAACCCAAGAAACAGAUAAGUCCGCAAAUGAGUCAGCAAAUUGCACAAAUGAUCAGACCAAAAUCACAGACACUGCUCCUCCAAAUCAGCAAUUUAAACCAACAUCCAGAAUGUCCUCAAAAACUCGAUUAAAAACUACUAAUGCCAACAAGGAAUGCAGUUGCCGAAUUAAAUCAACCAAAAUUUCAACAAGCACAACACUGGCCGAGAUUCUUCCCAAAAUAUCACCGACAAUUGUUAAAAUUUCAGCCCACCCAAGAACUUCAACAAUCGCACCCAACUGGAGGAAGCAAUGUAAAUAGCAUAGAAACUUCCCAAUUUAACAAACAAGUGCAAUAUUUCAGCU